CAGUCACAUGCUGUGCUCAAACCACUUAACAGUCUGCUUCAGCUCUAAAACCUCAGGCCUGAUCUGUCAUCUCUAGUCUGAUGAAUUUUAAACAGGGAAAGUUUAAGCUGUGGGACUGAGAUUGUCCAAGUAGUUACUUGGAAUACCCUGGGAAAUGCAUGGAAAGACUCUAACAGACUUACAUCUAAGCUGCAUUUGGAUUCUAACCUUUUGAGAUGAUUCCAGAGAGACUUUUGCAAACCAGUAGACUCAUCCAUCACUGCUACAAAUCUGAUAUAAGGACUUGCAAGCUUUUGUAAUUGGUCAUGGAUGAGAACCAGAUUUAGACAAAGUUUACUUACUAGACUGCUGAUAUACAGUUCCACGAAGCAGCUAUUUACCAGGAACCCCUCAAAGUCCACUACCAAGAGGGCUGCAAGAAUAUCCCAGUUCUGCAUGUAAACUAAGCAUUGUAAGUCAGUACAAUGGAAACUCCAUUUACCUACAAAGUCAACAGUGGAAUGUGAAAUCAACAGGGAGGCAGCACAGGAUUAUCCUGACUCUGGAUACAGACAAUGAAUUUUGGGGGAAAUACAAGAAGGAAAGAAAGACAUCCUUUUAUCCUGCACCUAAGAAGUAAUUUGGCAGUGAAGUUAAAGCCAUGAAGAUAGGAUCAUAACCUGCCCUGGCUGAAAUGCUACAGAGAACAUUUGAAGUGAGAAACUUUUAGACAGAAGUUUAGCCCCUAGAAAUAGUUUUAUGAUUUUGUUUUAUAUGUAACCCAUUUGUUUCCAUAAUUCUUACUAUCUCUGAAUUUUGGUAAUAAACGUAUCAUUGUUCUCACUAUAAAUAUCUCAGUACUAUGAUGUUGUUCAGUGACCUGAUCCUGAAUUGAAUCAUUCAAGCUAGUGUGUUCACUGUUCCCUUGUGGACAGCAGACCUGGUAUUUGUAUGAGUGUUCAGUGAAUAAUGGGCAGGACACUGCAGGGGAACACUUCAAAGGGUCUUGGAAAGCGAGUUAGUUUUCCUGUCUUUCCUUGCUUUUGGUUGCUGUAUGUGUCUGUUUUAUCAUUUGCUAUAUGUAGUUGUUUUUAUAGCUUACU
This is a long non-coding RNA of Mauremys reevesii (Reeves's turtle), 1082 nucleotides long. RefSeq lists it as uncharacterized. Lineage: Eukaryota; Metazoa; Chordata; Testudines; Geoemydidae. The transcript has 3 exons. The record is from RefSeq and is a predicted model, not a curated record.